Molecule: ribosomal RNA, 492 nt
Filed under: uncultured bacterium
Lineage: Bacteria
Description: partial 16S ribosomal RNA
Rfam family: Bacterial small subunit ribosomal RNA
Source: RNAcentral
AGUGAACGCUGGCGGUAGGCCUAACACAUGCAAGUCGAACGGCAGCACAGUAAGAGCUUGCUCUUACGGGUGGCGAGUGGCGGACGGGUGAGGAAUACAUCGGAAUCUACUUUUUCGUGGGGGAUAACGUAGGGAAACUUACGCUAAUACCGCAUACGACCUACGGGUGAAAGCAGGGGAUCUUCGGACCUUGCGCGAUUGAAUGAGCCGAUGUCGGAUUAGCUAGUUGGCGGGGUAAAGGCCCACCAAGGCGACGAUCCGUAGCUGGUCUGAGAGGAUGACGAGCCAGACGGGGAGUGAGACCGGGCCACGCCCCCAACGGGGGGAAGCAGUGGGGAAUUUGGGAAAGUGGGCGCGAGCCCGUGACAGCAAUGCCGGGUGCAGAAAGAAGCCCUUCGGGUUGUCAACUUCUUUUGUACGGAACGAAACGGCUCUGGUUAAUCCCCGGGGCUAAUGCCGGCACCGUAAGAAUAAGCACGCGCUCCCUACCUG